AACGAACGCUGGCGGCAUGCCUAACACAUGCAAGUCGAACGAAGCCUUCGGGCUUAGUGGCGCACGGGUGCGUAACGCGGGGGAAUCUGCCCCUUGCUUCGGAAUAACAGUUAGAAAUGACUGCUAAUACCGGAUGAAGUCUUCGGACCAAAGAUUUAUCGGGAAGGGAUGAGCCCGCGUAGGAUUAGGUAGUUGGUGGGGUAAAGGCCUACCAAGCCGACGAUCCUUAGCUGGUCUGAGAGGAUGAUCAGCCACACUGGGACUGAGACACGGCCCAGACUGCUACGGGAAGCAGCAGUGGGGAAUAUUAGACGAGGGACGCAAGUCUGAUCCAGCAAUGCCGCGUGAGUGAUGAAGGCCGUAGGGUUGUAAAGCUCUUUUACCAGGGAUGAUAAUGACAGUACCUGGAGAAUAAGCACCGGCUAACUACGUG
RNAcentral lists this ribosomal RNA (433 nucleotides) under uncultured bacterium. Its description in RNAcentral is "partial 16S ribosomal RNA". It matches the Rfam family "Bacterial small subunit ribosomal RNA", at positions 29 to 507 of the family's 1533-position model. The record is from RNAcentral.